GACGAACGCUGGCGGCGUGCUUAACACAUGCAAGUCGAACGCUGAAGCCUAGCUUGCUGGGUGGAUGAGUGGCGAACGGGUGAGUAACACGUGAGUAACCUGCCCCCUUCUUUGGGAUAACGCCCGGAAACGGGUGCUAAUACUGGAUAUUCACUGGUCUUCGCAUGGGGGUUGGUGGAAAGGUUUUUUCUGGUGGGGGAUGGGCUCGCGGCCUAUCAGCUUGUUGGUGGGGUGAUGGCCUACCAAGGCUUUGACGGGUAGCCGGCCUGAGAGGGUGACCGGUCACAUUGGGACUGAGAUACGGCCCAGACUCCUACGGGAGGCAGCAGUGGGGAAAUAUUGCACAAAUGGGCGAAAAGCCCUGAUGCAAGCG
RNAcentral lists this ribosomal RNA (373 nucleotides) under Schaalia odontolytica. RNAcentral's name for it is "bacterial SSU rRNA". It matches the Rfam family "Bacterial small subunit ribosomal RNA", at positions 28 to 393 of the family's 1533-position model. Lineage: Bacteria; Bacillati; Actinomycetota; Actinomycetes; Actinomycetales; Actinomycetaceae. The record is from RNAcentral.